CCUACGGGAGGCAGCAGUGGGGAAUUUUGGACAAUGGACGAAAGUCUGAUCCAGCAAUGCCGCGUGCAGGACGAAGGCCUUCGGGUUGUAAACUGCUUUUGUACGGAACGAAAAAGUCUUUUUUAAUAAAGAAGGCUUAUGACGGUACCGUAAGAAUAAGCACCGGCUAACUACGUGCCAGCAGCCGCGGUAAUACGUAGGGUGCAAGCGUUAAUCGGAAUUACUGGGCGUAAAGCGUCCGCAGGCGGUUCUAUAAGACAGAUGUGAAAUCCCUGGGCUCAACCUAGGAACUGCAUUUGUGACUGUAGAGCUAGAGUACGGCAGAGGGGGAUGGAAUUCCGCGUGUAGCAGUGAAAUGCGUAGAUAUGCGGAGGAACACCGAUGGCGAAGGCAAUCCCCUGGGCCUGUACUGACGCUCAUGGACGAAAGCGUGGGGAGCAAACAGGAUUAGAUACCCUGGUAGUCCACGCCCUAAACGAUGUCAACUGGUUGUUGGGUCUUCAGUGACUCAGUAACGAAGCUAACGCGUGAAGUUGACCGCCUGGGGAGUACGGCCGCAGGUUGAAACUUAAAUGAAUUGACGG
RNAcentral lists this ribosomal RNA (584 nucleotides) under uncultured bacterium. RNAcentral describes it as "bacterial SSU rRNA". It matches the Rfam family "Bacterial small subunit ribosomal RNA", at positions 338 to 916 of the family's 1533-position model. The record is from RNAcentral.